Medicago truncatula (barrel medic) is the source of this 1187-nucleotide RNA transcript. RefSeq lists it as uncharacterized. NCBI's taxonomy places the organism in Eukaryota, Viridiplantae, Streptophyta, Magnoliopsida, Fabales, Fabaceae. The record is from RefSeq and is a predicted model, not a curated record. The transcript is spliced from 5 exons.
AGGAGAUUUACAAGAAUGUCUUGGAAGGAGCCACUGAACUUAAAGAAAGAGGCAAUAUAUACUUAGGAGGUGGUAACAUGAACAUAGAUGGUUUAAGGUUGCAGGCCAUGUUUGCUAUAGGACAACUUGAAUCACAUUUGGGGUAGACUUAAUGUUUUUGAACCUCUGUAGUGCAGACGAUUAUUUGCAAAUGGCACUGACUAUGGCAAAUCAGCUGAACUCAAUUUAAAAGUUCAUACUGCAUUAUCACUGAGCCUGGUUGUGGCAUAUUGUUCCUAAUAUCUUGUUGUUCUGUAUUUGUUGCAGGCGAAAAACAUCCCAAGCUGGCUGUUGUCUUAACAAAUAGGGCUCUUAUGUAUAAACGUUUUAUGGAGAAGGAACAUUCGCUUAUGGUUCAGGAGGGUAUCUACAGAGAAGUUUCAGAGAUGUUGAAGUUCCCACCACCUGAAACUGAAUCUGAAGGUGCUGCAGCUAAACCCCCGGUAAAGAGAAAUGAUAUGGUGGCUCUUGCAAGUGGUGGAUAUGCAGAAGUACUAAGUUUCCAAGAAGAUCGACAGCAUGAAGGAGUAGAGAUGAAGAAAUUAUCCGACUCUUUAUGGAAAAACAAAAGGAUGUCUCUGGAUGAUUUUCUAGGAAAUACAGAAGCAAGUAUAGGUACGGUUGUUGAUGCUCGUAUUUGCAGGCUUCUGUGAAUUGAUCCAUCUUCUGCUGCUUAUCUUGCUGCUGAAUGUUUAGGUUGGAGUAUUGAUUAAUGAAAAAAAUUAGCUAAUUUUGUUGAAAAUUAGUUCUUGGUGUGUGGUUCUUGCAGUUAAAAUGUUAUGAUGGCAUAUACUAUGGUAUCCAUUGUCAUGUACAUAUCAUUUCUAAGGUGUAUAAUGACACGGAAAAUGGUGACUAUGGUGAAGCAGCGGAUAAACUCUUUAUGAUAGUAGUAAUAUCCAUUGUUGGAUAUAUUAGUACUUUAAUCAAUGGAUUAGGAUUUUUAUCUAGAACUUGUUAAAAUUCAAAAUUUCAGAGUAAGUCAGAGUAUAGUUAAUUCACCAGUUGCAAUGAAAAUUUUAGUAUAGUCCUCUGAAGUUCUACUUUUGUCCUCUAAAGUUUAGACAAAAACAAGUCAUUUUUUUGUAUUUAUAAACAGGUAUCGCAUUUUUGUAAUUAGAGGGGUGAAUAGGUUAGACUUUGCUAAA